This is a non-coding RNA of Podarcis lilfordi (Lilford's wall lizard), 75 nucleotides long. NCBI's taxonomy places the organism in Eukaryota, Metazoa, Chordata, Lepidosauria, Squamata, Lacertidae. The record is from the annotation of a GenBank genome assembly.
GUCUGGGAUAGCUCAGGUGGUAAGGGCACGAGACUCUUAAUCUCAGGGUCAUGGGUUAGAGCCCCACAUUGGGUG